RNAcentral lists this ribosomal RNA (447 nucleotides) under uncultured bacterium. Its description in RNAcentral is "partial 16S ribosomal RNA". It matches the Rfam family "Bacterial small subunit ribosomal RNA", at positions 29 to 523 of the family's 1533-position model. The record is from RNAcentral.
AACGAACGCUGGCGGCAGGCUUAACACAUGCAAGUCGAACGCCCCGCGAGGGGAGUGGCAGACGGGUGAGUAACACGUGGGAACCUUCCUAGAGGUACGGAACAACUCAGGGAAACUUGAGCUAAUACCGUAUACGCUCUUGCGAGGAAAGAUUUAUCGCCUUUAGACGGGCCCGCGUCGGAUUAGCUAGUUGGUGGGGUAACGGCCUACCAAGGCGACGAUCCGUAGCUGAUCUGAGAGGAUGAUCAGCCACACUGGGACUGAGACACGGCCCAGACUCCUACGGGAGGCAGCAGUGGGAAAUCUUGGACAAUGGGCGCAAGCCUGAUCCAGCCAUGCCGCGUGAGUGAAGAAGGCCUUCGGGUUGUAAAGCUCUUUUACCAGGGACGAUAAUGACGGUACCUGGAGAAUAAGCCCCGGCAAACUUCGUGCCAGCCGCCGCUGUAA